Non-coding RNA from Pelobates cultripes (western spadefoot toad), 212 nucleotides. The record is from the annotation of a GenBank genome assembly. Lineage: Eukaryota; Metazoa; Chordata; Amphibia; Anura; Pelobatidae.
AAACAUGGCAGUUUUUUAAAGAGCAUUUGUAAAUCCAAUCUUUUCUUCUAUUUGUCUAUCUGUCGCUGCCGUUGUGGAAACAUGAACAUUGAGAUAUGGGCAGUUAGUGGACUUUAAAGGGAUACUGUGACGACCAUGACCACUUCAGUGAUUUUUAAGUGGUCAUUGUGGUAGGAGUAGGUAUGUGCUGUUUUUGAAACACUGCACAUAAU